Molecule: transfer RNA, 70 nt
Filed under: Bufo japonicus (Japanese toad)
Lineage: Eukaryota; Metazoa; Chordata; Amphibia; Anura; Bufonidae
Description: tRNA-Trp
Rfam family: tRNA
About the family: Transfer RNA (tRNA) molecules are approximately 80 nucleotides in length. Their secondary structure includes four short double-helical elements and three loops (D, anti-codon, and T loops).
Source: RNAcentral
AGAAACUUAGGAUAAUUAAGACCAGGAGCCUUCAAAGCCCCAAGUAGAAGUUAAAAUCUUCUAGUUUCUG